This 253-nucleotide ribosomal RNA is filed under the name uncultured bacterium. RNAcentral's name for it is "partial 16S ribosomal RNA". It matches the Rfam family "Bacterial small subunit ribosomal RNA", at positions 524 to 776 of the family's 1533-position model. The record is from RNAcentral.
UACAGAGGUCCCGAGCGUUGUUCGGAUUCACUGGGCGUAAAGGGUGCGUAGGUGGUGAGGUAAGUCGGAUGUGAAAGCUCCAAGCUCAACUUGGAAAUGGCAUUGGAAACUACCUUGCUAGAGGGUUUGAGGGGGGACUGGAAUACUUGGUGUAGCAGUGAAAUGCGUAGAUAUCAAGUGGAACACCAGUGGCGAAGGCGAGUCCCUGGAAAACUCCUGACACUGAGGCACGAAAGCUAGGGGAGCAAACGGG